UACGGAGGGGGCCAGCGUUGAUCGGAAUUACUGGGCGUAAAGGGCACGUAGGCUGGCUGUUAAGUCGGGGGUGAAAUCCUGAGGCUCAACCUCAGAAUUGCCUCCGAUACUGGUAGGCUUGAGUGCAGGAGAGGUGAGUGGAAUUCCCAGUGUAGAGGUGAAAUUCGUAGAUAUUGGGAAGAACACCAGUGGCGAAGGCGGCUCACUGGCCCUCAACUGACGCUGAGGUGCGAAAGCGUGGGGAGCAAACAGG
Molecule: unclassified non-coding RNA, 253 nt
Filed under: uncultured Alphaproteobacteria bacterium
Lineage: Bacteria; Pseudomonadati; Pseudomonadota; Alphaproteobacteria
Description: contains 16S-23S intergenic spacer region
Rfam family: Bacterial small subunit ribosomal RNA
Source: RNAcentral